CCGAGUUAUUAAUAGUGAUUUUCUGAAGUUUUGAGAUUUUAAAAAUUAAUAAAGAAAAAAGGAGGAAUUUGUGCGGUACGAUCUGGGCCAUUAAAAUACCCACCGCCUUCAUCGUAGCCGUCCAAAUUCAAUUAUUGGAGAGGCUAUAUAUAGGAUCAAAUCAGGUCAAACAUUGGUAGACCAUGAUAGAAGCUUUUGGGCUUCUGACCCGCGAGCACGACCUGAAAACCCGGAAAGAGAAUCCGACCGGCGUUCCACCGUCCGGCCAUCUCUCGGCGACAGACCACUUGCGUUCGAUCCCUCUCUUCAGUGCGGACAUCUUUCUAGUGGUGGAUUAUACCAUCGGCGACGAUACGAGGCUCAUGAAGCUUGAAGUUUUUCAGUGGUUUCGCGGCGAUUUCUGGCGGCCGAUUUAACUGCAUGAGCUCUAAACAACAAGAACAUGCCUCCAUGCGCGUUGCUUCUCACGUCGCUCUCUCAACGCGUGGCAACCGGCUUGCUUAGGUCAAGAAUUCGGUCAGGAGCUUUGCCUUUUUCUUGGCCUGGGUCAUGAAAGCUCAAUUUGAAGCUGAUCAAGAGACCAGCGGUGGAAGCAACUUUUUCUUCCAUUUCAAUCACCACCUCAGCUUGCCCAGGUGGAGACCGGUCAAGAGAGCACCGGUGAACUUGCUCUUAGUGUGUCAUGGUCAGAAAUUUAGUCACCAAUAUGGUGCCCUAUGAGGAUGUCCAUAAGCUAUAUUUAGCUGUGGAUGGUCUUGUUGGAGGUGGUGGUGGAGGGUCUUGCUGUGAGUCUUCACGUUACUCUUCCUCCCCCAUUGUCACUCUCCUUGUUGUUAGGCUGCAUAAGUCAUCACGUGGUAGAAAUUCUGCUGUAAUUCCCAAAUAUUUGGUUCUUGUUUAAUAAAAAAUUUAACUUAAUUAAAUAAAAAAA
Long non-coding RNA from Rosa rugosa (rugosa rose), 931 nucleotides. RefSeq lists it as uncharacterized. The record is from RefSeq and is a predicted model, not a curated record. The transcript is spliced from 2 exons. NCBI's taxonomy places the organism in Eukaryota, Viridiplantae, Streptophyta, Magnoliopsida, Rosales, Rosaceae.